This is a long non-coding RNA of Lagopus muta (rock ptarmigan), 1063 nucleotides long. RefSeq lists it as uncharacterized. The transcript is spliced from 3 exons. The record is from RefSeq and is a predicted model, not a curated record. NCBI's taxonomy places the organism in Eukaryota, Metazoa, Chordata, Aves, Galliformes, Phasianidae.
UCAGGCAGCUUCUGAAUAUCUCCAAGGAGGAGGCUUCACAGUCUCUGGGCAGUUUUGUGCCAGUGCUCUGGCAACCUAUGAAGCACUGAAGUGCUUUCUGGUGUUCAGAGGAAACUACUGUCUGCCACUGGGCACCAGAGAGAACAGCCUGGCUCUGUCCUCUUUGCACAUUCCCUCUAGGAGCAAUGGAUGAUGCACUGAUGGUGUUCCUCUGAGCCUUCUCUCCCAGCUGAGCAGCCCCAGUCCCUUCCUUCUCAUCGGGGAAGAGCUGCAGUCCCUUGAUCAAAGGCUCUGCCACCUCCACCUCCCUAGGACCGUUGCAGAGGAUUUGCCUGGAGCAUGGCACUUCUGGCCCAGGUCACAUGAGGAGCGUCUCCAAGCUGCAGGUACAGCUGACUGCGUGCAUUUGAAGAGCUUCAGGCAUCCUUCACAGAGCCCCAUGCCUUGCCUACCAGCACUCUGCAAGGAGGAUGGAUCAGAAACUUUGAGCUGAGUGCCUGUUCACAGAGAAUGAAGCAGACUUGCCAGCCAGCCCCUGGGUUACCUCCUUUCAUGGCAGAGAGGCACAAGAGGCAAACUCCACAGUUCCUGUGCAAGUGGGAUUUGCUCCAUCACAAAGGUAAUACUCUGUGUUUUAGUCCAACCCAAGGCAGAGAGCAUUUAAAGACCAAGGAGCUGUAAGGUCAUGUGAGAUUAAAAAGACAAGAUGUUGGUUUAUUUAUCAAGAAAAGGCCUAGCUUCAUCUUUUUAAUAAACAAAAACUACAUUCCUAAAACUACAAAAAAAAAGUUUAAAUGAAAUUGAGAAAAGUAGACUUUGCUACAGUAAGUAGGUAGGAAAGUGCUUUAUGGAUGGAAAAACUGCAACCAGAGAGAACAUCAGCAAUGUUCUCCCUUAAAUCAGAAAGCAAUCAAAAAGAACUGAUGAGCAUCCUGCUGGACACGGAGUAAUGUAAGUGCAGGGCAUGGCCCUGGGUGCCCCUGGACAGCAGCUGAGAGACUGGAGUUUGUCUGAAUUGUACAGUGUAGGAAAAAAAAAAAAGAGGUUUUUCAGUAUGUCAAAA